This 301-nucleotide ribosomal RNA is filed under the name uncultured bacterium. RNAcentral describes it as "partial 16S ribosomal RNA". It matches the Rfam family "Bacterial small subunit ribosomal RNA", at positions 509 to 809 of the family's 1533-position model. The record is from RNAcentral.
CAGUAGCCGCGGUAAUACAGAGGGUGCGAGCGUUAAUCGGAUUUACUGGGCGUAAAGCGUGCGUAGGCGGCUUUUUAAGUCGGAUGUGAAAUCCCUGAGCUUAACUUAGGAAUUGCAUUCGAUACUGGGAAGCUAGAGUAUGGGAGAGGAUGGUAGAAUUCCAGGUGUAGCGGUGAAAUGCGUAGAGAUCUGGAGGAAUACCGAUGGCGAAGGCAGCCAUCUGGCCUAAUACUGACGCUGAGGUACGAAAGCAUGGGGAGCAAACAGGAUUAGAUACCCCCGUAGUCCCUGUCUCUUAUCC